RNAcentral lists this transfer RNA (69 nucleotides) under Smaug warreni. RNAcentral's name for it is "Gly-tRNA". The record is from RNAcentral. Lineage: Eukaryota; Metazoa; Chordata; Lepidosauria; Squamata; Cordylidae.
AUUCUUCUAGUAUUAAUAGUACAAGUGACUUCCACUCACUAAGACUCAGCCCACCCCUGAGGAAGAACA